UGCUGACGAGAGGCGGACGGGUGAGGAACGCUUGGGAAUCUGCCUAUCAGCGGGGGACAACCCGGGGAAACCCGGGCUAAUACCGCAUACGCUCUACGGAGGAAAGCCGGGGACCGCAAGGCCUGGCACUGAUAGAUGAGCCCAAGUCGGAUUAGCUAGUUGGCGGGGUAACGGCCCACCAAGGCGACGAUCCGUAGCUGGUCUGAGAGGACGAUCAGCCACACCGGAACUGAGACACGGUCCGGACUCCUACGGGAGGCAGCAGUGGGGAAUAUUGGACAAUGGGGGAAACCCUGAUCCAGCGACGCCGCGUGGGUGAAGAAGGCCUGCGGGUUGUAAAGCCCUUUCGGUAGGGACGAAAGCUCUUGCUCUAAUAAGGCAGGAGGUUGACUUAACCUACAUAAGAAGCACCGGCUAACUCUGUGCCAGCAGCCGCGGUAAUACAGAGGGUGCGAGCGUUAAUCGGAAUUACUGGGCGUAAAGCGCACGUAGUCGGCUUGUCAAGUCGGGUGUGAAAUCCCCGGGCUCAACCUGGGAACUGCAUCCGAGACUGACUUGCUAGAGUAUGGGAGAGGGAAGCGGAAUUUCUGGUGUAGCAGUGAAAUGCGUAGAUAUCAGAAGGAACAUCAGUGGCGAAGGCGGCUUCCUGGACCAAUACUGACGAUCAGGUGCGAAAGCGUGGGGAGCAAACAGGAUUAGAUACCCUGGUAGUCCACGCCCUAAACGAUGACAACUGGAUGUCGGGAGGGUUU
Molecule: ribosomal RNA, 752 nt
Filed under: uncultured Gammaproteobacteria bacterium
Lineage: Bacteria; Pseudomonadati; Pseudomonadota; Gammaproteobacteria
Description: bacterial SSU rRNA
Rfam family: Bacterial small subunit ribosomal RNA
Source: RNAcentral